Octopus bimaculoides (California two-spot octopus) is the source of this 115-nucleotide non-coding RNA. NCBI's taxonomy places the organism in Eukaryota, Metazoa, Mollusca, Cephalopoda, Octopoda, Octopodidae. The record is from Rfam.
UUGCUUUCAGAAAAGUAGACCCAGUAACCACACCCCUUGACAAAGAUGAAGGAGAUCAUUUGAUCUUUCUUAACAUGUGUAUUGCUCUCUAUCUACUUCAGAGCAAUCUAUUUUA